AUGUGCCUAGUGAAGCCGUUAUUGCUGGCGUUGAACGCGAUAAGAUUCUUCAUCAUUUUCCAUGUGGCUGAUGGAAGUUCUAAGCUGAACUGGUUGCUUGAGACGUUGAGUACCUGCAGAGGCCGGUCUGUGGUGAUCGAAGACGGCAGCUCUUGCAGCAUUCCAUUUAGCCGGUUGAAGCUGACGUCAAGGGCGAUGAUGCUGCUGGAGGACAUGAGCUCCAGCGGAAGGCCACUGGAGAAGGAGUUGUGCGAAAGGUUGACAUGCAGCAAGCCUGUGAGGUCAGCGAGAGAUGGUGAGAUGCGCCCUUCAAGUCCUUUAGAUGCCAGGGAGAUCUCAGUGACGGCCCCAUCUCCAUUGCAAGCCUGUGAGGUCGGCGAGAGAUGGCGAGAUGCGCCCUUCAAGUCCUUUAGAUGCCAGGGAGAUCUCAGUGACGGCCCCAUCUCCAUUGCAAAUGAUGCCUUCCCACUCGCAGCAGUCUGUCUCAUGGUUCCACGACGCGGCGAGGGUGCCAUCUCCCGACGUCCCAGCGAGGAACUGGAGAAGUGCUUCUCCUGCUCGGUGCAUGAGGUGGCGGGAGAGAGGCCGGAGAGUAGCAGGAACAGCUGCAGCACGGCCGGAGGAAUGGUGAAGGAACGCAUUGCUAAGAGAGAGGGCAUGGGCACUGGGCCACAGUUAAGUUGGCCCCAUGGUCCGCAGGCUGCACAAGAGACAGCGGCACUAGCACGGGAAGCAACAACCGUGGCUAUCAAUUAG
Molecule: ribosomal RNA, 756 nt
Filed under: Triticum aestivum (bread wheat)
Lineage: Eukaryota; Viridiplantae; Streptophyta; Magnoliopsida; Poales; Poaceae
Description: partial small subunit ribosomal RNA
Source: RNAcentral